UUGGAAACAGGUGCUAAUACCGUAUAACAACCAAAACCACCUGGUUUUGGUUUAAAAGACGGCUUCGGCUGUCACUUUAGGAUGGACCCGCGGCGUAUUAGCUUGUUGGUAAGGUAACGGCUUACCAAGGCGAUGAUACGUAGCCGACCUGAGAGGGUAAUCGGCCACAUUGGGACUGAGACACGGCCCAAACUCCUACGGGAGGCAGCAGUAGGGAAUCUUCCACAAUGGACGAAAGUCUGAUGGAGCAACGCCGCGUGAGUGAUGAAGGGUUUCGGCUCGUAAAACUCUGUUGUUGGAGAAGAACAGGUGUCAGAGUAACUGUUGACAUCUUGACGGUAUCCAACCAGAAAGCCACGGCUAACUACGUGCCAGCAGCCGCGGUAAUACGUAGGUGGCAAGCGUUGUCCGGAUUUAUUGGGCGUAAAGCGAGCGCAGGCGGUUUUUUAGGUCUGAUGUGAAAGCCUUCGGCUUAACCGGAGAAGUGCAUCGGAAACCGGGAGACUUGAGUGCAGAAGAGGACAGUGGAACUCCAUGUGUAGCGGUGAAAUGCGUAGAUAUAUGGAAGAACACCAGUGGCGAAAGCGGCUGUCUGGUCUGUAACUGACGCUGAGGCUCGAAAGCAUGGGUAGCGAACAGGAUUAGAUACCCUGGUAGUCCAUGCCGU
Molecule: ribosomal RNA, 667 nt
Filed under: Lentilactobacillus buchneri
Lineage: Bacteria; Bacillati; Bacillota; Bacilli; Lactobacillales; Lactobacillaceae
Description: bacterial SSU rRNA
Rfam family: Bacterial small subunit ribosomal RNA
Source: RNAcentral